CCUACGGGUGGCAGCAGUGGGGAAUAUUGCACAAUGGGGGAAACCCUGAUGCAGCGACGCCGCGUGAGUGAAGAAGUAUUUCGGUACGUAAAGCUCUAUCAGCAGGGAAGAAAAACCGGCCAUAGGGCUGCCAGACGGUACCUGACUAAGAAGCACCGGCCAAAGACGGGCCAGCAGCCGCGGUAAUACGUAGGGGGCAAGCGUUAUCCGGAUUUACUGGGUGUAAAGGGAGCGUAGACGGCAGGGCAAGCAUGAAGUGAAAUGCCGGGGCCCAACCCCGGAACUGCGUUGGAAACUGUGGGGCUGGAGUGCAGGAGAGGUAAGCGGAAUUCCUAGUGUAGCGGUGAAAUGCGUAGAUAUUAGGAGGAACACCAGUGGCGAAGGCGGCUUACUGGACUGUAACUGACGUUGAGGCUCGAAAGCGUGGGGAGCAAACAGGAUUAGAUACCCUGGUAGUC
This 458-nucleotide ribosomal RNA is filed under the name uncultured bacterium. RNAcentral's name for it is "partial 16S ribosomal RNA". It matches the Rfam family "Bacterial small subunit ribosomal RNA", at positions 338 to 795 of the family's 1533-position model. The record is from RNAcentral.